AUAGGGGAGCCGAAGGGAAACCGAGUCUUAACUGGGCGUUAAGUUGCAGGGUAUAGACCCGAAACCCGGUGAUCUAGCCAUGGGCAGGUUGAAGGUUGGGUAACACUAACUGGAGGACCGAACCGACUAAUGUUGAAAAAUUAGCGGAUGACCUGUGGCUGGGGGUGAAAGGCCAAUCAAACCGGGAGAUAGCUGGUUCUCCCCGAAAGCUAUUUAGGUAGCGCCUCGUGAAUUCAUCUCCGGGGGUAGAGCACUGUUUCGGCUAGGGGGCCAUCCCGGCUUACCAACCCGAUGCAAACUGCGAAUACCGGAGAAUGUUAUCACGGGAGACACACGGCGGGUGCUAACGUCCGUCGUGAAGAGGGAAACAACCCAGACCGCCAGCUAAGGUCCCAAAGUCAUGGUUAAGUGGGAAACGAUGUGGGAAGGCCCAGACAGCCAGGAUGUUGGCUUAGAAGCAGCCAUCAUUUAAAGAAAGCGUAAUAGCUCACUGGUCGAGUCGGCCUGCGCGGAAGAUGUAACGGGGCUAAACCAUGCACCGAAGCUGCGGCAGCGACACUAUGUGUUGUUGGGUAGGGGAGCGUUCUGUAAGCCGUUGAAGGUG
RNAcentral lists this ribosomal RNA (604 nucleotides) under Citrobacter koseri. RNAcentral's name for it is "bacterial LSU rRNA". It matches the Rfam family "Bacterial large subunit ribosomal RNA", at positions 657 to 1258 of the family's 2925-position model. Lineage: Bacteria; Pseudomonadati; Pseudomonadota; Gammaproteobacteria; Enterobacterales; Enterobacteriaceae. The record is from RNAcentral.